This 389-nucleotide ribosomal RNA is filed under the name uncultured bacterium. Its description in RNAcentral is "bacterial SSU rRNA". It matches the Rfam family "Bacterial small subunit ribosomal RNA", at positions 29 to 417 of the family's 1533-position model. The record is from RNAcentral.
AUUGAACGCUGGCGGCAUGCCUUACACAUGCAAGUCGAACGGCAGCACGGGAGCAAUCCUGGUGGCGAGUGGCGAACGGGUGAGUAAUACAUCGGAACGUGUCCAGUUGUGGGGGAUAGCCCGGCGAAAGCCGGAUUAAUACCGCAUACGACCGUACGGGUGAAAGGCGGGGAUCGCAAGACCUCGCGCUAGUUGGGGCGGCCGAUGUCAGAUUAGCUUGUUGGUGGGGUAAAAGCCUACCAAGGCGACGAUCUGUAGCUGGUCUGAGAGGACGACCAGCCACACUGGGACUGAGAAACGGCCCAGACUCCUACGGGAGGCAGCAGUGGGGAAUUUUGGACAAUGGGCGCAAGCCUGAUCCAGCCAUGCCGCGUGCGGGAAGAAGGCCU